UCCAUCAUGGUGUAGUGGCUAACAUUAUCGCCUCUCAUGUACUUGAAACGCGAUAGCCCAGGGUUCGAUUCCCUGUGAUGGAA
This is a non-coding RNA of Stygiomarasmius scandens, 83 nucleotides long. The record is from the annotation of a GenBank genome assembly. NCBI's taxonomy places the organism in Eukaryota, Fungi, Basidiomycota, Agaricomycetes, Agaricales, Campanellaceae.